Molecule: ribosomal RNA, 484 nt
Filed under: uncultured bacterium
Lineage: Bacteria
Description: partial 16S ribosomal RNA
Rfam family: Bacterial small subunit ribosomal RNA
Source: RNAcentral
AUUGAACGCUGGCGGCAGGCCUAACACAUGCAAGUCGAGCGGAUGAAGGGAGCCUGCUCCUGGAUUCAGCGGCGGACGGGUGAGGAAUGCCUAGGAAUCUGCCUGGUAGUGGGGGAUAACGUCCGGAAACGGGCGCUAAUACCGCAUACGUCCUGAGGGAGAAAGUGGGGGAUCUUCGGACCUCACGCUAUCAGAUGAGCCUAGGUCGGAUUAGCUAGUUGGUGGGGUAAAGGCCUACCAAGGCGACGAUCCGUAACUGGUCUGAGAGGAUGAUCAGUCACACUGGAAGUGAGAAACGGCCCAGACUCCUACGGGAGGAAGCAGUGGGGAAUAUUGGACGAUGGGCGAAAGCCUGAUCCAGCAAUGCCGCGUGUGUGAAGAAGGUCUUCGGAUUGUAAAGCACUUUAAGUUGGGGGGAAGGGCAGUAAGUUAAUACCUUGCUGUUUUGACGUUACCAACAGAAUAAGCACCGGCUAACUUCGUG